Molecule: ribosomal RNA, 1363 nt
Filed under: uncultured bacterium
Lineage: Bacteria
Description: bacterial SSU rRNA
Rfam family: Bacterial small subunit ribosomal RNA
Source: RNAcentral
AUUGAACGCUGGCGGCAGGCCUAACACAUGCAAGUCGAGCGGUAGCACAGAGAGCUUGCUCUCGGGUGACGAGCGGCGGACGGGUGAGUAAUGUCUGGGAAACUGCCUGAUGGAGGGGGAUAACUACUGGAAACGGUAGCUAAUACCGCAUAAUGUCGCAAGACCAAAGUGGGGGACCUUCGGGCCUCAUGCCAUCAGAUGUGCCCAGAUGGGAUUAGCUAGUAGGUGGGGUAACGGCUCACCUAGGCGACGAUCCCUAGCUGGUCUGAGAGGAUGACCAGCCACACUGGAACUGAGACACGGUCCAGACUCCUACGGGAGGCAGCAGUGGGGAAUAUUGCACAAUGGGCGCAAGCCUGAUGCAGCCAUGCCGCGUGUGUGAAGAAGGCCUUCGGGUUGUAAAGCACUUUCAGCGGGGAGGAAGGCGUUAAGGUUAAUAACCUUGGCGAUUGACGUUACCCGCAGAAGAAGCACCGGCUAACUCCGUGCCAGCAGCCGCGGUAAUACGGAGGGUGCAAGCGUUAAUCGGAAUUACUGGGCGUAAAGCGCACGCAGGCGGUCUGUCAAGUCGGAUGUGAAAUCCCCGGGCUCAACCUGGGAACUGCAUUCGAAACUGGCAGGCUAGAGUCUUGUAGAGGGGGGUAGAAUUCCAGGUGUAGCGGUGAAAUGCGUAGAGAUCUGGAGGAAUACCGGUGGCGAAGGCGGCCCCCUGGACAAAGACUGACGCUCAGGUGCGAAAGCGUGGGGAGCAAACAGGAUUAGAUACCCUGGUAGUCCACGCCGUAAACGAUGUCGAUUUGGAGGUUGUGCCCUUGAGGCGUGGCUUCCGGAGCUAACGCGUUAAAUCGGCCGCCUGGGGAGUACGGCCGCAAGGUUAAAACUCAAAUGAAUUGACGGGGGCCCGCACAAGCGGUGGAGCAUGUGGUUUAAUUCGAUGCAACGCGAAGAACCUUACCUGGUCUUGACAUCCACAGAACUUUCCAGAGAUGGAUUGGUGCCUUCGGGAACUGUGAGAUAGGUGCUGCAUGGCUGUCGUCAGCUCGUGUUGUGAAAUGUUGGGUUAAGUCCCGCAACGAGCGCAACCCUUAUCCUUUGUUGCCAGCGGUCCGGCCGGGAACUCAAAGGAGACUGCCAGUGAUAAACUGGAGGAAGGUGGGGAUGACGUCAAGUCAUCAUGGCCCUUACGACCAGGGCUACACACGUGCUACAAUGGCAUAUACAAAGAGAAGCGACCUCGCGAGAGCAAGCGGACCUCAUAAAGUAUGUCGUAGUCCGGAUUGGAGUCUGCAACUCGACUCCAUGAAAGUCGGAAUCGCUAGUAAUCGUAGAAUCAGAAUGCUACGGUGAAUACGUUCCCGGGCCU